CAAAAGUUUUAUUUAAGCUUGAAAUAUUGAUUUAUAAUUUUUAUACAUGUAAAUAUUUUUGUGAUUAAUUAUUAAUUUAAAAAAUUAAUAAUUUAUUAUUAUUCGCAGUUUAUAAUUUUUUAUAUUUAAGAAAUUAAGAUUAAGGAAUUUAUUUUAGUAUUAACAAAAUUUGUGCCAGCAGUUGCGGUUAUACAAAUAAUAUAAUUAAUAUUUUUUGAUUAAUAAUUAAUUGAGUUAGUAAUAAAUAAAAAUUAAUGUUAUUAAGUGAAAUUUUAACAUUAAAUAUAUUUAUUAAUAAAAUUAUGAAGUUAUUAAAUUUUUAUUUAAACUAGGAUUAGAUACCCUAUUAUUUAAAAUGUAAAAUAAAAUAUUUAAUUAGUAGUAGUUAUGUUCUUUAAAAUUAAAAAAUUUGGCGGUAUUUUAGUCUUUUCAGAGGAACCUGUUCUAUAAUUGAUAUUCCACGAUUAAUUGUACUUGAUUUAUUAGUUUAUAUAUCGUCGUAGGUUGAAUAUUUUAUCAGAAAUUUAAUAUUCAUUAAUUUUUAUUAAAAAUUAAAUCAGAUCAAGGUAUAGCUUAUAAUUAAGAAGAAAUGGGUUACAAUAAAAUUAUUUAAAUGGAUUUAAAUUUGUUAAAUUUAAAGAAAGUGGAUUUGAAAGUAAUAUAAUUAAUUUAAAUUAUAUGAUUUAAGCUCUAAAAUAUGUACAUAUUGCCCGUCGCUUUCAUAUAAAAUGAAAUAAGUCGUAACAAAGUAGAUGUACUGGAAAGUGUAUCUAGAAUUA
Molecule: non-coding RNA, 779 nt
Filed under: Ochthebius himalayae
Lineage: Eukaryota; Metazoa; Arthropoda; Insecta; Coleoptera; Hydraenidae
Source: RNAcentral